GCGAUGGGGAGAGAAAGGGAGGGAAGAAAUUUGCGGAGAGGCAGGCAGGGAAGAAAUUUGGGGACAGGGGCAAACAUUUUGAGGGCAAAAUGAGACCUGGUGGUAAGAGAUUUGGGGGAAAGAAACAUGAGGAUGGAGGGAAAAAAAUGUUUGACGGAGGAAAGAAAUUUGGUGGAAAGAAAACAGGGGACAAGACUUUCAAAUCUAAUGGCCAAAAAGGCAAACCUCGUCCAGGCUUCAAGAAGAAGGGUACAGGUGGAGGAGCAAAGCAAAGCUUCAAACCGAGGAAGGGCAAAAGCUGACAUUCUCUAAAUAGAAAUCUGUACUAGCAGAUAUGGGGUGCAUUGUCUUGCUGUACCACCAGGGCACCUUCAUGGACAUGAACCUGGUGUCAUAAACUGAUGUCACUGGGUUAUGCAAGUUAACCAGUUCUUGAAAGGACACUAUUGCAUCGGCAGGAGGACUUUUCAGUGACAAUUCAGUGAUGCUGUUUUCUACCAUGUAAAAUAUUUGUAAAAAUGAUUUUGUUGAUAAAGGGUUAAGAUGUAUGCAAUAUCUAAGACUUUUAUUCAUGAACUUCUUUGGUAGUUUUACCUGUGACAUAUACAUUGCAUAAGUACAUAAAUUAGAUUAAAACAUCUGUGGUGACGCUUCCUCAAUUUGUGACUUCAAGAACAAAGCAGGAAAUUCUGUUCUUGACUUUUCAAAACGGAAGUGGUGGGUAUCUGCAUUCUAAAUCUGCACUAGCGUUGUGUGAGCAGCUCUGUCACAAGUGUCUUAAUAGCAACUUGAAUUGGGGCACCUGAAGAAACUUUUACAUUUUGGGAUUAUAACUGGGUAUCAUGACUAACUACUCCGUGGGUGAACAGUUCCAAAUGCGGUUACUUCCUUCAAUGUAUGGGAUUGAAUUUUGUGUGGCCUUGGUGGGUAAUCUGUUUGCACUGUGGCUCCUGGUAACCAAGGAGAGGAAGAACUGGCACACUGGUGUGGUGCUGUCGUGUAACCUCGCCAUCAGUGACCUGCUCUAUGUCCUCACCCUGCCUCUGCUGAUAGUCUACUACGCGCAGAAGAAGAACUGGCCCUUUGGAAAUGCAAUGUGCAAACUGGAGCGCUUUCUGUUUACCUGUAACCUGUACGGGAGCAUCUUCUUCAUCAUGUGCAUCGGUGUGAAUCGUUACGUGGCCAUCGUGCAUCCGUUCUUCACCCGGACCUACGUGCGCCCCGCUCAUGCCAAGGCUGUCAGCCUCGUCACCUGGAUCAUUGUGGCAGCCUUUUCCUCCCCCGUGUUGAUGUUUGCUUCCACAUGUCCGAAAGGAAAUGUGACUUACUGUGUCUCCCAUUGUGAAAUGAAAUCUGACGAGUGCUCUCACUUCAACUACAAGCUAUUUCUAGCUCUGGUUGGGUGUUUUGUUCCCUUUCUGGUCACAUUUGCUUCUUAUAGUGGAAUUAUUUGGGUUGUGUGGCAGAAUACUAAUAUUACCCCUCUGGAGAAAAGGAAGGUGGCACUUAUGGUGCUGUCAGGCAUUGUGUUGUAUGCUGUUUCAUUCUUGCCCUAUCAUGUCUUACAAAGCUACCACUUUUAUCUGAUAAAAAUUGAAACAUUUGAUAGGAGGAUCUAUGAAGCCUACCAAGUAUCCAAGGGUAUGGCAACUCUGAACAUGUGCAUUCAUCCUCUUCUCUAUAUGGCUGUGUUUAACAGCUUCAGAGUCGCUUGCUGUGGAAAAGACCAAGAUGACAAUGUAUAGAGAAGUUUGAAAGAAACCUUUAUGGUAUGAAACCUUAGCUUAGCAUAAAUGUAUUUUAGAUUUAGAAUCAACCUGUAGCUGGAACACAAAGCCACUCAACAUGCUCUAAAUUGCUUUGCUGUAUUUUGCGAUAUUUGAAUUCUAUAAACCGACACAAUAAUGUAUGAUCUAUAAUUUAAAUAAAAAGACCAAAUUACACCAUCAGUCCUCUGCACCGUGUUUCAAGGACAGCCGUGCCUGUGGGCGGCGCUCAAACUUUCGUCGGGUACGACAUUUUCUUUUGCUCGCGUCCCCUUUCCGAUGUUCUCUGGCCGCUGAGCGCACCGCGAGGAUGCCGUCGAUCGAAUACGACGAUUCCAAGCCCAGCUGGGCCGAUCAGGUUGAAGAGGAAGGAGAUGAAGGUACCCUACCAUCUCCAAAAGAAACUAUCAAAGGAAAUAUUAAAACUAUCACAGAAUACAAGAUUGACGAAGAUGGAAAAAAGUUCAAG
Molecule: RNA transcript, 2235 nt
Organism: Osmerus eperlanus (European smelt)
Lineage: Eukaryota; Metazoa; Chordata; Actinopteri; Osmeriformes; Osmeridae
Gene: eif3g
Gene name: eukaryotic translation initiation factor 3, subunit G
Exons: 4
Source: RefSeq, a predicted model, not a curated record